This is a long non-coding RNA of Sorghum bicolor (sorghum), 1743 nucleotides long. RefSeq lists it as uncharacterized. The record is from RefSeq and is a predicted model, not a curated record. Lineage: Eukaryota; Viridiplantae; Streptophyta; Magnoliopsida; Poales; Poaceae. The transcript has 2 exons.
GUUUUUCCUUCAUUCCAUGUUUUUUCUUGGCCUCCUUGUGUGUGUUUAUGUUUGGUGUUCUUGCAUUAUUGGUGAAUUGAAGGGAGACGACAGCAGCGUUGUUUCUUCCUGGAUAUAUCUCGCUCCUAUUUCCUGGAUCUCUUCAUGGCACCUACCUAUUAUUCCCAGUUUCAAGAAUCUUUUUUUUUGCAUUGUUUUAUUUCAUUCCUAGUAGCUAGUAUCUUGAAAUCAAAGGGUGGGACUGGGAUCUAUACUACCUUGUGUUAUUUUUCUUGAGAGGAGUAUGGAGAAGAUGAAGAGAGAGUGCAGGAUGCAUGGUAGCUAGUUUCGUUCAUCCUGAAUGCAAAAACAAAUGCUCUUGUGAAUGAGUGAAGCUGCCAGCAUGAUCUAGCUUUGGUUGGCACCAUUGGCAGGCGCCCACACAGUGGCCUCUUCCGUGUGUGUAGUGCCGCUCUGUACCUGCAAAUCAUUGUUAGAUCAUGCAUGACAGCCUCAUUUCUUCACAAUUAUGGGCAUGUAUAUAUGCUGAUGAUGUCAUUUUCUUUAUGACCUUUGCUUUGCUCCAACUUUGAGAUCCAUCUGCAGCAUAUGCUUUCUGCUAUACUCCGUAUGUGUUAUUCUGCAGAUCUUGGAUGAACCAUCGAUCCCUGCAUGGUGGAGAAGCAUGAUGAAAGGGAAUGAAGAGGCAGUACAUUUUGUUCUCUGCUACAACAUGCCAUCUGCUUGUAUUGAUAUGAGGGGAAGGAAGAAAGAGGAAUAAUGAGCAUCAGGUCAUGCUGUAGUUUCAUCCGCUGGUGGGAGCACAUCGAAAACCCUAGCUAGCUGGAUUUAAUUUCCAUCUGUGCGCUGAAUCAUCAAAAUUUGGCUGGGGGUCAUCAGGUCAGUUCUUGUAGAAUCCAUUCAUGCUGUACCUGGAUCGGAUCAGGUAUAUAUGGUGAGAUCCAAAUCAGAUGUGUGGAUCAGAUUAAUUAGCUCAAGCUUGUUUCCGCCGUUGAGGUUGGUUUGUGAUAAUCUUCUUGUAGUUUCUUCUUUUGUGCUUUUGCUUCUCUCUUCGGUUCAGUUAUGCAGUAUGGAAAUUUGGGGUUUUCUUUCCAUGUAUGAUUCCUUCUUCAUCUCUCUCUCUCUCUCUCUCUCUCUCUCUCUCUCAAAAGAACAAUGUUUUUUUAUUCAGAUAAGAACAUUAAAUUUACACGGUGCUAGCACAGUGGUACCAUCUGAAAAUUCUAGUCGUUCUGAAAUGCAUGAAUUGCUCUAAUUCAACCGUGCUAAUUACCUUGAGAUGUUUGCAAAGUGCACUCCAAUAAUUUGCACAUUUGAGAUCCAAAAUGUUACAGUACAUCUCUCAUCCUUGCAGUUCAGUACGUGUUACUUUAAGUUUCUUGUCUGGCCUUGUAGGUAACAUCCGUCGUCAUCAGCAAAUGGGCCCUUGAGAAUCACUGUCAAAUUAAUUAAGCUCUGUGUUUAAUUAGCCUUGUGUAGCAGUAGAAGCCAGUUGGAUGGUCCUGUUUGUGACAUGGCUUAUCAAUUACAAUGCCUGUGUGGGUUCAGUACAAACUAUAUAUGCAGGAAUAUAUAUAAUUGGGCUUUGAGAAUAUAGGAUAUACUGUUUUCAUAACUGUGGCUACAUGUGAUUUUUUUUUCUUUGAAAGGCUGGCUACAUAAGAUUUCACUGUGUGAUCCUGCUAACAGUGCUGAUGAAAAACUGUGUCAUUUAUCAUGCAGCAAGGCAAGCAUUUAUGAUUA